Molecule: ribosomal RNA, 433 nt
Filed under: uncultured bacterium
Lineage: Bacteria
Description: partial 16S ribosomal RNA
Rfam family: Bacterial small subunit ribosomal RNA
Source: RNAcentral
AACGAACGCUGGCGGCAUGCCUAACACAUGCAAGUCGAACGAGACCUUCGGGUCUAGUGGCGCACGGGUGCGUAACGCGUGGGAACCUGCCCUUAGGUUCGGAAUAACUCCCCGAAAGGGGUGCUAAUACCGGAUAAUGUCUUCGGACCAAAGAUUUAUCGCUCUUGGAUGGGCCCGCGUUGGAUUAGCUAGUUGGUAGGGUAAAAGCCUAUCAAGGCGACGAUCCAUAGCUGGUCUGAGAGGAUGAUCAGCCACACUGGGACUGAGACACGGCCCAGACUCCUACGGGAGGCAGCAGUGUGGUAUAUUGGACAAUGGGCGAAAGCCUGAUCCAGCAAUGCCGCGUGAGUGAUGAAGGCCUUAGGGUUGUAAAGCUCUUUUACCCGGGAUGAUAAUGACAGUACCGUGAGAAUAAGCUCCGGCUAACUCCGUG